Molecule: ribosomal RNA, 445 nt
Filed under: uncultured bacterium
Lineage: Bacteria
Description: bacterial SSU rRNA
Rfam family: Bacterial small subunit ribosomal RNA
Source: RNAcentral
AACGCGAAGAACCUUACCAGCUUUUGACAUGGGAAGUUUGAGGAGUAGAGAUAUUCUUCUUCAGUUCGGCUGGCUUCUACACAGGUGCUGCAUGGCUGUCGUCAGCUCGUGUCGUGAGAUGUUGGGUUAAGUCCCGCAACGAGCGCAACCCUUAUUGCUAGUUGCCAUCAGGUUUGGCUGGGCACUUUAGCGAAACUGCCGGUGAUAAGCCGGAGGAAGGUAGGGAUGACGUCAAGUCCUCAUGGCCCUUAUAGGCUGGGCUACACACGUACUACAAUGGCGGUGACAGAAGGCAGCGACGGAGAAAUCCUGAGCGAAUCCCUAAAAGCCGCCUCAGUUCGGAUUGUCCUCUGCAACUCGAGGGCAUGAAGUCGGAAUCGCUAGUAAUCGUAGAUCAGCAUGCUACGGUGAAUACGUUCCCGGGCCUUGUACACACCGGUAUCUC